RNAcentral lists this ribosomal RNA (497 nucleotides) under uncultured bacterium. RNAcentral describes it as "partial 16S ribosomal RNA". It matches the Rfam family "Bacterial small subunit ribosomal RNA", at positions 28 to 507 of the family's 1533-position model. The record is from RNAcentral.
GACGAACGCUGGCGGCGUGCCUAAUACAUGCAAGUUGAGCGCUGAAGGUUGGUACUUGUACCAACUGGAUGAGCAGCGAACGGGUGAGUAACGCGUGGGGAAUCUGCCUUUGAGCGGGGGACAACAUUUGGAAACGAAUGCUAAUACCGCAUAAAAACUUUAAACACAAGUUUUAAGUUUGAAAGAUGCAAUUGCAUCACUCAAAGAUGAUCCUGCGUUGUAUUAGCUAGUUGGUGAGGUAAAGGCUCACCAAGGCGAUGAUACAUAGCCGACCUGAGAGGGUGAUCGGCCACAUUGGGACUGAGACACGGCCCAAACUCCUACGGGAGGCAGCAGUAGGGAAUCUUCGGCAAUGGACGAAAGUCUGACCGAGCAACGCCACGUGAGUGAAGAAGGUUUUCGGAUCGUAAAACUCUGUUGGUAGAGAAGAACGUUGGUGAGAGUGGAAAGCUCAUCAAGUGACGGUAACUACCCAGAAAGGGACGGCUAACUACGUG